This 1164-nucleotide ribosomal RNA is filed under the name Triticum aestivum (bread wheat). RNAcentral describes it as "partial small subunit ribosomal RNA". Lineage: Eukaryota; Viridiplantae; Streptophyta; Magnoliopsida; Poales; Poaceae. The record is from RNAcentral.
AUGAUGGUCGUCACGCUGGUGCUCCUCCUCGCCACCCUCACCGGUGCUCCGGUGGAGGGUCAGUGGCGUAGGCGGUUCCCGCCGCUGGAUCCCUGUCGUCUUCCUUACCCUCCGCGUCGUUGUAGCGAUCCUUCCCCUUACUUACCCAGACCGCCUCCGACGCCGGUCGACAACUACGACGGGUACAGCAUGUUCGUGUUCGGUGACUCCUUCGCCGACACCGGCAACCUCCCAUACAAUGCCACCAGCCUCCUCGCCUGGUCGCUCAUGCGCCCGUGGCACAUUCCCUACGGCAGUUCCUACGGCAAGGACGACGGAUCCGUCUCCUCGACGCCCCAGGCCACCGGACGAUUCUCCAACUAUAAGGUCCAAACUGAUUUCGUCGCGACGAUUCUUGGGCUCAAGAUGGCGCCCCCGGCGCACCAGGUGCAGGGCGACGCGUCCUGCGACAACACCGGCAUGACGUUCGCCAUGGGGGGCUCCGGCGUCUACUCUGUGCCGGCCGGCGUGCCGACGCUGAGCGCGCAGGUGGACACCUUCGCACAACUCGUCUCCUCCGGCGCCAUCCCGGCCGCGCGUCUCGCCAAGUCCGUCGCGCUCGUCGCCGUCUCCGGCACCGACUACGACCGCGUGGGCAUCGCGCACCCCAAAGCGUUCGGCGACGUGACCGCCUUCAUCCGCAACGUGACCGCCGGGAUCUCCGACAGCGUCGACCGCCUCCUCAAGCUCGGCGUGAAGAAGGUGCUCGUGAACAACCUACCCCCGAUCGGCUGCGCGCCGUCGCAGACCAAGGCAGCGAAGUACGGCGCGUGCGACGACGCCGGCAACAUUGGCGCCGACACCCACAACAAGAUCCUGAAGCAGCUGCUCGGGGACCAGGACAACGUGCUCGUCGUCGACCUCCACGCCGCGUUCAGCGCCAUCGUCCAGGGGUCGACGGGCCAGUUCAAGCACAGGCUCACGCCCUGCUGCGUGGCCGAUAGCUUCUGCGGGGCCACGGACGCCAACGGGGACCUCUACGAGGUGUGCACCACGCCGAGCCUGGGCCUCCCGGGCCCCGAGGAAUACUUCUACUGGGACGACAUGAACCCGACCCAGGCCGGAUGGGCGGCCGUCAUGGAGCAGGUCGAGGGCUCCAUCAAACAGUUCGUCGGUGUGAACUAG